RNAcentral lists this ribosomal RNA (562 nucleotides) under uncultured Bifidobacterium sp. RNAcentral describes it as "bacterial SSU rRNA". It matches the Rfam family "Bacterial small subunit ribosomal RNA", at positions 147 to 710 of the family's 1533-position model. The record is from RNAcentral. Lineage: Bacteria; Bacillati; Actinomycetota; Actinomycetes; Bifidobacteriales; Bifidobacteriaceae.
CUCCUGGAAACGGGUGGUAAUGCCGGAUGUUCCACAUGAGCGCAUGCGAGUGCGGGAAAGGCUUUUUGCGGCAUGGGAUGGGGUCGCGUCCUAUCAGCUUGUUGGUGGGGUAACGGCCUACCAAGGCGUUGACGGGUAGCCGGCCUGAGAGGGCGACCGGCCACAUUGGGACUGAGAUACGGCCCAGACUCCUACGGGAGGCAGCAGUGGGGAAUAUUGCACAAUGGGCGCAAGCCUGAUGCAGCGACGCCGCGUGCGGGAUGGAGGCCUUCGGGUUGUAAACCGCUUUUGUUCAAGGGCAAGGCACGGUUUCGGCCGUGUUGAGUGGAUUGUUCGAAUAAGCACCGGCUAACUACGUGCCAGCAGCCGCGGUAAUACGUAGGGUGCAAGCGUUAUCCGGAUUUAUUGGGCGUAAAGGGCUCGUAGGCGGUUCGUCGCGUCCGGUGUGAAAGUCCAUCGCUUAACGGUGGAUCCGCGCCGGGUACGGGCGGGCUUGAGUGCGGUAGGGGAGACUGGAAUUCCCGGUGUAACGGUGGAAUGUGUAGAUAUCGGGAAGAACACC